RNAcentral lists this ribosomal RNA (447 nucleotides) under uncultured bacterium. Its description in RNAcentral is "bacterial SSU rRNA". It matches the Rfam family "Bacterial small subunit ribosomal RNA", at positions 329 to 793 of the family's 1533-position model. The record is from RNAcentral.
GCCCAGACUCCUACGGGAGGCAGCAGUGGGGAAUAUUGCACAAUGGGGGAAACCCUGAUGCAGCGACGCCGCGUGAGCGAUGAAGUAUUUCGGUAUGUAAAGCUCUAUCAGCAGGGAAGAAAAUGACGGUACCUGACUAAGAAGCCCCGGCUAACUACGUGCCAGCAGCCGCGGUAAUACGUAGGGGGCAAGCGUUAUCCGGAUUUACUGGGUGUAAAGGGAGCGUAGACGGCGAUGCAAGCCAGAUGUGAAAGCCCGGGGCUCAACCCCGGGACUGCAUUUGGAACUGUGUGGCUGGAGUGUCGGAGAGGCAGGCGGAAUUCCUAGUGUAGCGGUGAAAUGCGUAGAUAUUAGGAGGAACACCAGUGGCGAAGGCGGCCUGCUGGACGAUGACUGACGUUGAGGCUCGAAAGCGUGGGGAGCAAACAGGAUUAGAUACCCGGGUAA